Apis cerana (Asiatic honeybee) is the source of this 2698-nucleotide long non-coding RNA. RefSeq lists it as uncharacterized. NCBI's taxonomy places the organism in Eukaryota, Metazoa, Arthropoda, Insecta, Hymenoptera, Apidae. The record is from RefSeq and is a predicted model, not a curated record.
UAUUGAUAAUAAUUAAUCAAGAAAAGGAUGUAUCUGUGCUCUUUUCUCGAUGUAAAAAAAACAUUCCCCCUUAAAACGAAACAAUAAAAACCUACGUGUCACAAGCGUUUCAUACGCUUGAAUACGGCCCUGCGAUCGAAGUCUUUCCCUCUCACUCUAAUACGCUCUACGUUAUUCUCUUCGCCUUUCCUCGUCGCACCAGAGAACCGUUCUCUGUUCCCUAACUUCUAUAUACCUAUCCUCCUCUUAUACGUAUCUUCUCUCGAUACAUCUGUCCUUCUUCCUUCCACUUAACAGCGCUCGACUCGGCUCGAUUCGUAAAUUCUCGGCACGAUUACGAGAUGGCAGUACGGAAUAGAGAGGGGAGGAGAAGGUUGUCGAGCGAAGAGAGAACCCGACCAACCCCGCGAGUCAGACAAAGACGAUAGCGCCGUGAAAGAAACGGAGCGAGUGAGUAAGCGUACGAGAAAGAAUGCGGAGUGAGUAAGUGUAGAUGGCGUUGGCGCAAGUGGGACGGAGAACGCGCGAGAAAGUGAGUAAGUGAAUGGGAGUAAGAGAGAGUACGACGAAAAAUAAGGAAGAAGGAAGAUUCGCGUAUGUAUACGCGAUAGAAACAGAAAGGGAUAGAGGAACGGAAUAAAGAGACAAGGAAAAAAAAUGGCAUGGUGGUAAAAGUGCUGCAAACUAGAGAGAGAAAGAAGAUAUCUACGCAUCGGAAGGAAACCGAAAAGGGAGCGAAAAAGGGGGAAAAGACAAAGUGAAAUGAAGUAUAGAGGAGAGAAAAACGGCAGUGCGUUAAAGAGCGACGAAGGAGGAACACGAGAAACAGAAAAAUAGAGGGAGAAAGAGAGAGAGAGAGAGAAAUAGAGAGGCGGCAAGAACAGAGAGAACUUAAAACGCAGCCACACCCGUGGUUAGUCGGCAAAUUUUUCUGUUUACGUCCAUGGGAGACCAGAAACCGUGAAGCGCGAACUUACAACCGCACGUGGGUUUCGCACUGACGUUUUGCGAAAAGUAUCUCGACGAGAAAAACGGGAUAAGGAAAUCUAGCGCGAAAUGUUAAAGGUAGAACGAUCAAAGAAAGAAAAUAUUCCUAUGAAAAUGUUGCUCGGUUGUCAGCAGCAAGAAUUGGAUAAUUUAAAUGUAAAAAUGUAAAAAAAUAAUUUAGAUUUAAAACAUUUAAACGAUGUGUUUCAGAUUGAGGAAAAACGGAAGUAGAGCAUAAAAAAAAAAUGCACGUAUCUUUUUUCACGAUAGAAGAGUUGAAUUAUUUAAAAAUUAAUUGAUUAAAUUUUAAAGAUAAUAGAAAAAUUUUAAAGAUUAACAAGCAAAGGAAUAAGAAAAACGGUGUAAGAAUUUAAACUUUCCAUCGAUAAAAUAUUUUUGAAAAUUUAUCUAUAAAUAAUUGCAAACCUGUCUUCCUUGCUCGCGUUUUCAGGAUAAUAAAUAAAACGAGCUUCUCAAUACAUACUCAUGAACAAAAGAGCAGAAAAGAAGAUGAACGCAUUAAAUUAAUGCAGUGAAAAUUUGCUUUUUCUUUCCACCAUCCUUCCAGUGAUUGAAUUUCAUUAAAAGUAGAUUAUCUAAUACAUUCGCCGUUACAAUGUGUACCGAUGCACGUAUACCUUGAAGGAACGAGGUUACACGAUUAAUGAGAAUUUCCGUGGUUCGAGGGACACAAAGAGAGAAAACUGCGACCGUAACCCUGGUACAGAACGAUUUAUGAGCCUGGUCUGAGUGUGUGUGAUAUACACCGUGAUCAUGAAGUUGCAGAAUCUGUUUGAACGAUAUUGCGCUCCUACAUAUUUGCGUCCUCCAGAUAUUUCAUAUUAAACCGCGCCAAUCAUUUUUUGAGUCGUUUCAUAUAUUGGAGCUGAAGCUUUUUGGAUGUUUAACAUCCGAUAUUCAAGACUGAUAUUGUAAAUAAAAAAUUGCAAUUCGGAUAAUGAAACUUUUGUUACGUCUAUAUAUUAGAUGGAAAUGAUUAGCUGAUUGUUGCACACCCGAUACACGUACAAAGUCUUCUCCAGAUAUAUGUGCCUCGAUCGAUUUCUAUCUCGGCAGCUUCUUCACGUAAAACGAAUUCGAUAUGAUAUCAAAAACAAGAGAAGAGGAAAAACACAAAAGAAGAGGAAAGACAAGAAAUAAAUAUGGCCGAGCAAAUUCCACGUGAAACGCAAGCGCGUAUCACAAUGAAGACCCGACCUGAUUGCGAUAAACCAGACGAUCGGUUGAUGACUGGAUUCACGGCGUGAUUUUCAGCAACGAUUUAUUAUGAAAAUGCAAUGAAGUACGCGGAUAAAAUUGCAAAUGCUGAAUUAUGAUUACAAUAACAAGGAUUUAUGAUCGUUGGUACUUUCCAAAACACAAGCACCUGAAUUUAUCGUUUACUAAAAAUUACGAGAGGUGCAUUUGCAAUGUAAAUCUUAUGCGAAAUUAAGGCAAACCAACCGGAUCGGAAGAUCGUUUAAAUAAAUCAACAAAAGUCGUUUAUUCGACGGAAAAUUGACUUCUUUUCUCUUUUUCUCUUUUGCAUAUAUACGCGUGAUUAUAAGUGAUAAAAUUGAAGAAUAAAUAUCGAUGAAUAAUAAAAAAAAACUAUUGUACGAACAGGUAUGAGAGUGAUAGAGUGAGAAAAGAAGAAUUCUCUUACCUUGAACGAGGAAGAAACAUCGAUCCAUCGAUGAACACAGAGCCG